Pelobates cultripes (western spadefoot toad) is the source of this 585-nucleotide non-coding RNA. Lineage: Eukaryota; Metazoa; Chordata; Amphibia; Anura; Pelobatidae. The record is from the annotation of a GenBank genome assembly.
AUAUCCAAUAUCCCUCUCUUCUUCUAAAUUUAAUAACGAAAUCACCCCCUUUAGUCCAAUUUUACUUGUUCAAUAAUAGUGAAAAUUAAAGUGCGAGGAUUAAAAGCUGGAUAGAGGUUACAAUGCAUAGGGACUGAGUGAGAUGUAAUACGCUUUCUAAUGUUAUUUUGAUGUUCCAAAAAUCUAACCUUUGCCAGUCUCCCCGUCCUCCCCACAUAAAGUUAUGAGGCUUUUUAAACUCUCAUAACAGAGAGGGCUUUUAUGUUUGUGGUCACUGUAAGGCCUGUAAAAUUUUACCCAGAGUGUCUCUGUCCUUUCAAAGGUGGUCCACAGAAGAGACUUUUAAAAUAAGGGUCAGUGUCUCCUGUUCCUUCACACAUGUGGUGUACCUGCUUACAUGUGGAUGAAGUGCAUAGUAUGUGGGGAGGAUGGGGAGACUGGCAAAGCUUAGAUUUUUGAAACAUAAAAAUAACAUUAGAAAAUGUAUUACAUCUCACUUUAAUUUUCACUAUUACUGAACAAGUACAAUUGAACAAAAGGGGGUGAUUUAGUUAUUAAACUUAGAAGAAGAGAGGGAUAUUGGAU